Molecule: unclassified non-coding RNA, 329 nt
Filed under: soil metagenome
Description: partial contains 5.8S ribosomal RNA, internal transcribed spacer 2, and large subunit ribosomal RNA
Rfam family: 5.8S ribosomal RNA (bases 1-120)
Source: RNAcentral
GAUGAAGAACGUAGUGAAAUGCGAUAAGUAAUGUGAAUUGCAGAAUUCAGUGAAUCAUCGAAUCUUUGAACGCACAUUGCGCCCCCUGGUAUUCCGGGGGGCAUGCCUGUCCGAGCCUCAUUACAACCCUCAAGCUCAGCUUGGUGUUGGGCCCCGCCGCCCCGGCGGGCCCUAAAGUCAGUGGCGGUGCCGUCCGGCUCCGAGCGUAGUAAUUCUUCUCGCUCUGGAGGUCCGGUCGUGUGCUCGCCAGCAACCCCCAAUUUUUUUCAGGUUGACCUCGGAUCAGGUAGGGAUACCCGCUGAACUUAAGCAUAUCAAUAAGCGGAGGA